UAUUUAAGUAACUUAAUAAGAGUGUCAUAGUGAAGUUAUGAAAGUGGUAAUUUGCCCUUAAGU
Molecule: transfer RNA, 63 nt
Filed under: Myrmecophilus manni (Mann's ant cricket)
Lineage: Eukaryota; Metazoa; Arthropoda; Insecta; Orthoptera; Myrmecophilidae
Description: tRNA-Phe
Source: RNAcentral